RNAcentral lists this transfer RNA (99 nucleotides) under Nitrososphaerota archaeon. RNAcentral's name for it is "Thaumarchaeota archaeon tRNA-Ser". It matches the Rfam family "tRNA". From Rfam's summary of the family: Transfer RNA (tRNA) molecules are approximately 80 nucleotides in length. Their secondary structure includes four short double-helical elements and three loops (D, anti-codon, and T loops). Further hydrogen bonds mediate the characteristic L-shaped molecular structure. tRNAs have two regions of fundamental functional importance: the anti-codon, which is responsible for specific mRNA codon recognition, and the 3' end, to which the tRNAs corresponding amino acid is attached (by aminoacyl-tRNA synthetases). tRNAs cope with the degeneracy of the genetic code in two manners: having more than one tRNA (with a specific anti-codon) for a particular amino acid; and 'wobble' base-pairing, i.e. permitting non-standard base-pairing at the 3rd anti-codon position. The record is from RNAcentral. Lineage: Archaea; Thermoproteati; Nitrososphaerota.
GUCGGGAUAGCGAAGCCUGAAUUUUUGGCUAUGUCUAACGCGAUCGCCUCGAAAGCGAUUGUCCUUCGGGACACGUGGGUUCAAAUCCCACUCCCGGCG